GAUGAACGCUAGCUACAGGCUUAACACAUGCAAGUCGAGGGGAAACGGCAUCGAAAGCUUGCUUUUGAUGGGCGUCGACUGGCGCACGGGUGAGUAACGCGUAUCCAACCUGCCCACCACUUGGGGAUAACCUUGCGAAAGUAAGACUAAUACCCAAUGAUAUCUCUAGAAGACAUCUGAAAGGGAUUAAAGAUUUAUCGGUGAUGGAUGGGGAUGCGUCUGAUUAGCUUGUUGGCGGGGUAACGGCCCACCAGGGCGACGAUCAGUAGGGGUUCUGAGAGGAAGGUCCCCCACAUUGGAACUGAGACACGGUCCAAACUCCUACGGGAGGCAGCAGUGAGGAAUAUUGGUCAAUGGGCGAGAGCCUGAACCAGCCAAGUAGCGUGCAGGAUGACGGCCCUAUGGGUUGUAAACUGCUUUUAUAAGGGAAUAAAGUGGGAGUCGUGACUCCUUUUGCAUGUACCUUAUGAAUAAGGACCGGCUAAUUCCGUGCCAGCCGCCGCGGUAA
This 508-nucleotide ribosomal RNA is filed under the name uncultured bacterium. RNAcentral's name for it is "partial 16S ribosomal RNA". It matches the Rfam family "Bacterial small subunit ribosomal RNA", at positions 28 to 523 of the family's 1533-position model. The record is from RNAcentral.